Long non-coding RNA from Solanum tuberosum (potato), 96 nucleotides. RefSeq lists it as uncharacterized. The transcript is spliced from 3 exons. Lineage: Eukaryota; Viridiplantae; Streptophyta; Magnoliopsida; Solanales; Solanaceae. The record is from RefSeq and is a predicted model, not a curated record.
AUACCUAUGUAUAUAUAGAGUUUCCGUCGAAGUUCGGGGGUGGCGUGGCACCCCCACAUGCCUUAAUAGAUCCGCCUCUGUUUGGCAUGCAAAUGC